GUGGGGAAUAUUGGGCAAUGGGCGAAAGCCUGACCCAGCAACGCCGCGUGAAGGAAGAAGGUUUUCGGAUCGUAAACUUCUAUCCUUGGUGAAGAUAAUGACGGUAGCCAAGAAGGAAGCCCCGGCUAACUACGUGCCAGCAGCCGCGGUAAUACGUAGGGGGCAAGCGUUGUCCGGAAUGAUUGGGCGUCAAGGGCGCGUAGGCGGGCCGGUAAGUCUGAAGUGAAAGUCCUGCUUUUAAGGUGGGAAUUGCUUUGGAUACUGUCGGGCUUGAGUGCAGGAGAGGUAAGCGGAAUUCCCGGUGUAGCGGUGAAAUGCGUAGAGAUCGGGAGGAACACCAGUGGCGAAGGCGGCUUACUGGACUGUAACUGACGCUGAGGCGCGAAAGUGUGGGGAGCAAACAGGAUUAGAUACCCCAGUAGUCC
Molecule: ribosomal RNA, 425 nt
Filed under: uncultured bacterium
Lineage: Bacteria
Description: partial 16S ribosomal RNA
Rfam family: Bacterial small subunit ribosomal RNA
Source: RNAcentral